RNAcentral lists this ribosomal RNA (240 nucleotides) under uncultured bacterium. RNAcentral's name for it is "partial 16S ribosomal RNA". It matches the Rfam family "Bacterial small subunit ribosomal RNA", at positions 15 to 245 of the family's 1533-position model. The record is from RNAcentral.
GAUCAUGGCUCAGGAUGAACGCUAGCUACAGGCUUAACACAUGCAAGUCGAGGGGCAGCAUUAAAGUUUGCUUGCAAACUUUAGAUGGCGACCGGCGCACGGGUGAGUAACACGUAUCCAACCUGCCGAUAACUCGGGGAUAGCCUUUCGAAAGAAAGAUUAAUACCCGAUGGUAUAUUUUCACCGCAUGGUGAGACUAUUAAAGAAUUUCGGUUAUCGAUGGGGAUGCGUUCCAUUAGG